AAAACAGACAAGAAUCUCUGUUAACUUGUCAACAGCGAUUUGGUGAGGAGUGCAGGGAGGCGAUAUCUACAAUACGACAUUUCACUGAUGAGAAGAUGAGCGACUUUCCAGUAUUGACCGAAGAUGGUCGGUGAGGAUGCAUCAUCUUCAGUCCUGGAUUUGUUCACUUGUUUCCUUGCUGUAUCUGGAUUGAUCGACCACGAUUUCUCCAUGAUGUUUGGUGACAAAGUGUCUCAGAAGUUCCUGGCAAUGUGGUCAAUAUUCUUCAAGCCAAAAAUCAUUGCAGACUGCAAGACUCUUAAGAAUAUGGGCGAGCUGCUGUCAGGAACUGAACCUGAAUCUGAGGACUACAAUGCGACAUGUCCUCAAUCCUUUUGCAGCUGCAUCUGCUCCCUCUAACCUCAAGAGGCCAGAAAAAAAUAUCCAAGAUCAGUUCAGCUCAAGCAACCAGCCAUCUUGUGAGCUGUCUUAAGGAAGGAGCCAGUGUGAAUACCUUCAUUGAGAGUGCUGACACAAGACAACCAUUUCUCCUCUGCAUCGGAAGCUGCCUUAAUCAUGAUGUACCCAGGCUACGCAGGCAGGACCGAGCUCCGGGACAACCUGGAGGCCGCUUCAGAUCCGUCUACAUGAUUGUGCCCGACCACGCCGUCAUCG
Molecule: long non-coding RNA, 654 nt
Organism: Ictalurus punctatus (channel catfish)
Lineage: Eukaryota; Metazoa; Chordata; Actinopteri; Siluriformes; Ictaluridae
Source: Ensembl